ACCAGACUCCUACGGGAGGCAGCAGUGGGGAAUAUUGGACAAUGGGGGGAACCCUGAUCCAGCGACGCCGCGUGAGUGAAGAAGUAUUUCGGUAUGUAAAGCUCUAUCAGCAGGGAAGAAAAUGACGGUACCUGAGUAAGAAGCCCCGGCUAACUACGUGCCAGCAGCCGCGGUAAUACGUAGGGGGCAAGCGUUAUCCGGAUUUACUGGGUGUAAAGGGAGCGUAGGCGGCAGGGCAAGCCUGAUGUGAAAGCCCGGGGCUCAACCCCGGGACUGCAUUGGGAACUGCCCCGCUCGAGUGCCGGAGGGGCAGGCGGAAUUCCUAGUGUAGCGGUGAAAUGCGUAGAUAUUAGGAGGAACACCAGUGGCGAAGGCGGCCUGCUGGACGGUGUACUGACGCUGAGGCUCGAAAGCGUGGGGAGCAAACAGGAUUAGAUACCCUGGUAC
RNAcentral lists this ribosomal RNA (447 nucleotides) under uncultured bacterium. RNAcentral's name for it is "bacterial SSU rRNA". It matches the Rfam family "Bacterial small subunit ribosomal RNA", at positions 330 to 793 of the family's 1533-position model. The record is from RNAcentral.